AGAGUUUGAUCAUGGCUCAGAACGUACGCUGGCGGCACGCCUAACACAUGCAAGUCGAACGAAGUAGCAAUACUUAGUGGCAGACGGGUGAGUAACAUGUAGGUAUCUGCCCUUUGGCCUGGAAUAACACGAGGAAACUUGUGCUAAUACCGGAUAAGUCUUUACGGAGAAAGCUUUAUGCACCAUUGGAUGAGCCUGCACUUGAUUAGUUUGUUGGUGGGGUAAUGGCCUACCAAGACUGUGAUCAAUAGCUGAUUUGAGAGGAUGAUCAGCCACAUUGGGACUGAGACACGGCCCAAACUCCUACGGGAGGCAGCAGUGGGGAAUCUUGCACAAUGGAGGAAACUCUGAUGCAGCGAUGCCGCGUGAGUGAAGAAGGCCCUUGGGUUGUAAAGCUCUUUCGUCGGGGAAGAAAAUGACUGUACCCGAAUAAGAAGGUCCGGCUAACUUCGUGCCAGCAGCCGCGGUAAUACGAAGGGACCUAGCGUAGUUCGGAAUUACUGGGCUUAAAGAGUUCGUAGGUGGUUGAAAAAGUUAGUGGUGAAAUCCCAGAGCUUAACUCUGGAACUGCCAUUAAAACUUUUCAGCUAGAGUAUGAUAGAGGAAAGCAGAAUUUCUAGUGUAGAGGUGAAAUUCGUAGAUAUUAGAAAGAAUACCAAUUGCGAAGGCAGCUUUCUGGAUCAUUACUGACACUGAGGAACGAAAGCAUGGGUAGCGAAGAGGAUUAGAUACCCUCGUAGUCCAUGCCGUAAACGAUGUGUGUUAGACGUUGGAAAUUUAUUUUUCAGUGUCGCAGCGAAAGCGAUAAACACACCGCCUGGGGAGUACGACCGCAAGGUUAAAACUCAAAUGAAUUGACGGGGACCCGCACAAGUAGUGGAGCAUGUGGUUUAAUUCGAAGAUACGCGCAGAACCUUACCAACACUUGACAUGUUCGUCGCGACUCUAAGAGAUUAGAGUUUUCGGUUCGGCCGGACGAAACACAGGUGCUGCAUGGCUGUCGUCAGCUCGUGUCGUGAGAUGUUGGGUUAAGUCCCGCAACGAGCGCAACCCUCACUUUUAGUUGCCAUCAUUAAGUUGGGCACUCUGAAAGAACUGCCAGUGAUAAGCUGGAGGAAGGUGGGGAUGACGUCAAGUCCUCAUGGCCCUUACGUGUUGGGCUACACACGUGCUACAAUGGUAUCUACAACAGGAAGCAAGACUGCGAAGUUAAGCAAAUCCCUAAAAGAUACCUCAGUUCGGAUUGCACUCUGCAACUCGAGUGCAUGAAGCUGGAAUUACUAGUAAUCGUGGAUCAGCGUGCCACGGUGAAUGCGUUCCCGGGUCUUGUACACACCGCCCGUCACACCAUGGGAGUUGGUUCUACCUUAAGGCAAGGUUUUAAACCCUUGACCACGGUAUAGUCAGCGACUGGGGUGAAGUCGUAACAAGGUA
RNAcentral lists this ribosomal RNA (1434 nucleotides) under uncultured bacterium. RNAcentral describes it as "bacterial SSU rRNA". It matches the Rfam family "Bacterial small subunit ribosomal RNA". The record is from RNAcentral.